AGAGACUCUACGCUGAAAACAACGUAUGGAUAUUUAAAUAUGGAUUAUUAUGGAUUUACAGUAUUUGAACCAGACCGGAGUUGGUGUUUAUUGGACCCGUGCAGAGACUAACAACGUUUUGGUAUGUGUGUCUGCCUGCCAGGAGAACCGGGCCCCUCGCUUCACUACACAGGGGAUACAAUCGCUCAAUGAUUGCAUGAUGCAUUCCUCUUUGCUGCGCCGAUAGAUGAUGCAUACUGCUUGGACAGCUCUCAAAGAGAUAACUGUGCGGGAAGAUAAAGAUCCUCACUGGGGAUCUGCAGAGAACAACCACAGGCUUGUACCGACGGUCACUGAGCUGUUCCACUGGAGCAGUUAGAGCGGACUCAAACACCGGUGUCCUUGAUGAAGUCCACCAUCCGUCCCACCUGCACUGCUGCUGCUGUUUGCUUCUCUGAACUGUGGAGCGUGCAGACCGUCAUCUCCUAAUGAUGAUGAUGAUGUCAUGAUGAAGGCAGAGAUGCGUACAGCAGCAGCUGUCUUCUGUACUCGGAAAUUGAUCUCUUGAGUGUGUCAGGCAGCUAUGAGAGCGCUGCGAGCCGCGGGGUCCUGUUACCGUUCACAGGUGCGGCACGUUGACAAGUUGAUGAUGACAGCCGAGCCGAGCCGAGAUUUCUCAACCUUUGGACUUGUGGUUGUCCAAGACGGCAGCUCCUGUAUCCAGGAUUAUCCAGGACAUCCACAGUGUCUGACUGGAGCAUUAUUGGACAUGCAAACAUCAUCUAGACGUCCACCACAAAACCACGUCUGACUGGAAGCAAACACAUGACAUCACUCUCUGACCAAUGUGUGCUGUGCAGGCAUUAACGUGGAAGAAACCCAGCCCAUCCAUCUCAGCAUCACAUAAUGGCCUGAGAGAGAACACUGGAUUUGCAUCAGCACUUCCUAGUGCAGCUCAUGUUGUGUGAGUGUUACUGUGCAUAGUAAUAUGCAGUUAUUGUGUGUUAAAUCACUCACCAUGUUGACUUCUGACACCAUGUCUAUGCUGGCCACGUCUAUGCUCAUCCCGACUGCAACAGGGGCCCCUGGAAGAGGUUAAACAGCAGCAUAUGUAUAUAGGCCCACACCUCUGCACCUGACCACAACACUGUGAAUGGCGCCAAAAAUAAAGCUGCCUACGGCGUGAAGGCGAAUUGAUAAGAGGUAAAAACAGCGGACGUACCUCCAAAGUCCGGCCUCAGUCGGAUAUCAUACCCCUUCAGUAGUUUAUCCACCGUCUCCUUCACGAAAGACAUGUUGCCCGGUUCAUUGACGCUGGAAGGAGAGCAGAAAGAAGAAGAAAACAUCACCUUGACUCCGGUGCCAAUCAGACAAGGAAAUAACCUUGACUUCACACAAAUGACAAAAGCACUCACCUUUUUGCGCAACACACAAUGGAACCGACAACCAGUGCGGACAAGACGCGGAAUUGACGAACCCGGUGCAAAGCAAACAUCACCCUUUCCUAUUUUUUGCCUCUUUUCCCCCUCGUUGUUUACAACCACAACAACAGCAACAGUCGAGACGGUUCCGGACGCUCUCCAAAUCAGAGGAAAUCCAUUGAUUGCCCGAGAGGAGAAAGUCGACUGAGAGAGCAGAGGGGCUAAAAAAAAGUCAGCAGCUCGCAGUGGAUGGAGUCAGAUGUGAAAUGUGUGCAGACAUCUCCUCCCCGACAUGAACACUGGCUCCGCUUUUCUUUGCCGUCUGUGACUGUGGAGAGGCUCUUACAUUCAGGAGCUGGAGCGCAUAUUGAUGAGGAGGGUGUACAGGGAUGCUGCUGCUGGUGGCGGUGAAGGCACUCGGCUUGUUUAAAUGAGAGACGAAGCCCAACACUUACACACUGUAAAAAAUACCACCAGCUGCAGUACAGUCUGGAUACUCAGGCUGCUUAGUUUUUUAUUUAUUUAUAUAUUUAAGGAUGAAUAUUCUGACAAUUAAAGCUCAGUUGUCUUUAUUUUUUAAUGUAAAUUAACUUCUAUCCAAUGCAUAAACUGUUUUUUUUAUUUAUUGCACUGUCAAUAAAGUCCCCGGUCUAUUUGAAGUGAAA
Centropristis striata (black sea bass) is the source of this 2065-nucleotide long non-coding RNA. RefSeq lists it as uncharacterized. NCBI's taxonomy places the organism in Eukaryota, Metazoa, Chordata, Actinopteri, Perciformes, Serranidae. The transcript is spliced from 10 exons. The record is from RefSeq and is a predicted model, not a curated record.